CAGCAACACUUUGUCAACAAGUAAAACAAUACAGUAAAAUAUAUUUCACUAAUAAAGAUCAAUAUAUCCAGAAAGGACUUAGCCAGCUAUACGAUGUUGAAGGUGGCCAAAAGUCUGACGCCUGGUAGUAGUCACCUCAGCAACUGGAGCUUCUUUUGUUCGAAGCUUCGUCCUCAAGAGCUUCCUCUUGGUCGACUUCUGGACCAUUUGCUUCUUCCAUCACAUCAUCAGCUAGGGUCUAAGGAACUUCUUCCAAAAACCUUGCCCUGAGUUCGAUAGCAUCCAGCUCUAGAUGGAAUUUCCACACUCUAACUACCAUCUUGACAUAGAUGAACCUCCGCUAGUAGGCACCAAAACGCUGAUACUCCUGCGUCAAGUGAAGCAAUGUAGUUCUUCACUACCUCCUUACCUGCCUUAGAGCAUCAACUUUGGCUUGUUCUACUUCCUUUACAUAGUAGGACAAGUCAAUCUCCAAAAACAUAGCCUUGCCCUUAAGGCUAACAAUUUCCAAAUUGGCCUUCUCCAGAGCCUCAACGGUAAACUUUUGAUUAUAUCAGAAGUAUCUGCCUUUUUUGUCAAAUAAGCCACCUUGCAUUGGAACUCG
This 604-nucleotide long non-coding RNA is filed under the name Olea europaea (common olive). RNAcentral's name for it is "long non-coding RNA (OEUR_LNC015654)". The record is from RNAcentral. Lineage: Eukaryota; Viridiplantae; Streptophyta; Magnoliopsida; Lamiales; Oleaceae.